This 484-nucleotide ribosomal RNA is filed under the name uncultured bacterium. RNAcentral's name for it is "bacterial SSU rRNA". It matches the Rfam family "Bacterial small subunit ribosomal RNA", at positions 56 to 535 of the family's 1533-position model. The record is from RNAcentral.
UGCAAGUCGAGGGGCAUCACGUGUAGCAAUACAUGGUGGCGACCGGCGGAAGGGUGCGUAACGCGUGAGCAACAUGCCCGUAUCAGGGGGAUAAACCAGGGAAACUUGGUCUAAUACCGCAUAAUAAGUUUCUAAGGCAUCUUAGGGAUUUUAAAGUUUUGGUGGAUACGGAUUGGCUCGCGUGACAUUAGCUAGAUGGUAAGGUAACGGCUUACCAUGGCAACGAUGUCUAGGGGUUCUGAGAGGAAGAUCCCCCACACUGGAACUGAGACACGGUCCAGACUCCUACGGGAGGCAGCAGUGAGGAAUAUUGGACAAUGGAUGGAAAUCUGAUCCAGCCAUGCCGCGUGCAGGAAGACAGCCCUAUGGGUUUUAAACUGCUUUUAUACGGGAGCAAUAAGGACUAUGCGUAUUUUGAUGAGAGUACCGUACGAAUAAGCACCGGCUAACUCCGUGCCAGCAGCCGCGGUAAUACGGAGGGUGC